UGAUAUGUAGAGUACUAUUUAAAUGACUGUGACUGAUUCUUAACCUGGUCUUUACGUCCUCCUCUCUUCUGUUGCUCCCUCUGUAUUUGACUUUAUCUAUUUCCCUCUGAAUUGAGUAUAAAUGUCUUCCCUUUGUCUGAUUGUUCUAAUAUUGUUGCCAUUCCUGUUUAAUUUUACUCCAUGUGACUCGUUUCCCCUCUGACUUAGAUCAUUUGAUGUUAAUAUCAAUCCUCUCUUUCUUUACAGCUUCCUUUGCCAACCUGUCCACCUUUUCAUUUCCUGCUAUACCUGAAUGUGCUGGAACCCACAUGAACAUCACAUCUGUCCCCUGUUUAACCACCUGGGAAUGUUAACUCCAAGUCUACUUCAGCUGUCUCAAGCAUCCACAUUGGAACUGGUGGCCAUAAAACAGUUGGACUGAUAUCCUUGUCAUUCAUCUCUCACCACUCUAUCCCCUAUCCAUCCAAAACUGGACUUAGUUGUUCUCUCUUUUUCCCAGCAAUCCUUUAACACUGAUUUUGUUGGGUGACUAUCUCCAUGUCCUCUCAAGUUCAGCCAAUAAUUUGCUAAUAGCUGUUUCCUCCUUAAACAUAGUGGCAGCUCUCCUACUUCUACCUGAAGUGCACAUAUUGGAGAUGAUUUCACUGCCCCAAUACAUAUCCUAAGAGCCUGUGCCUGAAUCAUUUCUAACUGUGUUGUCUUUGCUGCAGAUCCAUAUACCACACUCCCAUACUCAAUCCUAGUUCUAAUUAACACCACAUAUAUAUAUUUUAAGGCAGCAACAUCAGCUCCCCAAUCCAUUCCUACAAGACAUCUCAUUACAUUUAUUACUUUUUUGCAUUUAUCAACAAUAUUCCUUAUGUGUUCCUUCCAUGUCAACCGGACAUCAAAAAAUACCCCUAAAAAACAAAAUGAGUCAACUCGUUCUAGCUUAUUUCCAUACAAUGUCAACCCAAUAUUCUCCCCAAUUUUCUUUCGAGAAAAGAACAUGAUCUUUGUUUUUUCCACAUAAAAUGUAAAUCCCCACUUUAAUCCCCACUUCUCAACUAAACUGAUCCCUUUCUGAAUUUUAUUUACAAUAAAUUGUAUAUUCUUUCCUUUUUUCCACAAUGCUCCAUCAUCCGCAAACAAUGAUCUUCCUAUAUCUGUUGGGAUAUUAUCAAAUAUAUCAUUUAUCAUAAAAAUAAAAUCGGACUUAUCACAC
Long non-coding RNA from Labrus mixtus (cuckoo wrasse), 1204 nucleotides. RefSeq lists it as uncharacterized. Lineage: Eukaryota; Metazoa; Chordata; Actinopteri; Labriformes; Labridae. The transcript has 2 exons. The record is from RefSeq and is a predicted model, not a curated record.